This is a long non-coding RNA of Cottoperca gobio, 2260 nucleotides long. Lineage: Eukaryota; Metazoa; Chordata; Actinopteri; Perciformes; Bovichtidae. The record is from Ensembl.
UGAGUGGCAGGUAGUGGGCGUGGCUUGCCAAUUAGCUCGCAGGUGUGCUCAUGCGCAGCAGUUCUUGGGGAACAUCUUGAGCUCCUGUUUGGAGUGAGUUCGGGAGCUGCUCCACUAAACCUUCUGCCAACAUGUGUUGCAAACUCUUCAGCUUGGUUUGUACCGACCCAUUUCAACAUGGAGGCGCACGUGUUGACAGUACGCCGACGGAAGGAGCCGGAACUCCAACUUCAAGAUUGCCCAGUUUGGGGGGUUAAGUCCAACACAGAAAAAGUGGGAAAAAUGGGAACCUUUGAUGCCACUAGAUCAGUUUCUUCUGCCAGUACCCAUCUCCGUCACUGCCACAUCAGCUGGUCCCAAGGUUGGGAGGUCAUCCAAACAUCUGGCCCCUCCACCAUGUUUUCUAAGGACGAUGAAAGUCUCCCCCGUUUGGAUCUACGUCGUAUCGUUGUGUUCGGCAACAUGCUCAGACUCUACUUUCAGUUCACAGAUGAUGAUAUAACCAUGGCAACAGAGACACCUUGGAGAAGGGCAAGAAGAAAACUUUAGACAUUACUGUCAAUCAAAACCCAGGAACAUAAAAGUCUUGUGAUGAUGUCGCCCGACGUGCUGAGAAACACCUUAAAACUUGAAUGUAAGACUUAUUACAUGAAUCCUUGUUGAUAUCUUUCACUUACUCUAACCUUACACGGGCAACUUUAAGCCGGAGACGCUUUCCUAAAAUAGCGAAACAAUCAGCAAAGCAGACACACACAUUCAAAAUAAUUUGAGGUUCCUCUGAUCAGCCGUCAGUUAACAUAGUCAUCAAUAGGACUAAUGUUCUGUGAGCAGAGUGGCACGCCAUGGCCCAGAGUGUGAAAACCUUCAAAACAUCGAAGAAGUGCCAACCCUGAGACUUGGCCUAACCUUGCCUUGAGCCACGUGUUGAUGAGUCUUCAGUGUGACUGAAACUUCAAAGGCGUUUCACUUCACUAAGCAGAAGGAUGCUCCUUCUCUCUCGUCGUCUCUCGUCUUCACUCAACUCAAUCCUUCUCAACGAGGACAUCUGAAAGGUUUGGAAAGAGACAGAUGAAAAGUUUGCUUGGCACUUUCUUGGAACAGUUUGGACCACUGUUGAUGAAACGCUGCUAUCACUGGUCUUUAACCAGUUAGUUUGAUGUGAAUGACAGAAGGCGGGGGGGCCUGCAGUGCAUAUGUUUUAUAUUCAGGGUACAACAAAUAAAAGCCUGGGAAUAAAUUCAUGAACAAAGUAAAACCCGCUUCACAUCAGAGCUCUGUAAUUAAAUCAAUGUUUUGCAUAUUUAAAGAAUUUGUACAUCUUGGCACCUUUACACACAACUGGUGACUGUGUGUGUGUGUGUGUGUGUGUGUGUGUGUGGGGUGUGUGGGAAGGGGGGGGGGGAGUUUUUGUGUUCACAUGACAAAUGGAGGCAGGAAAAGUGUGGUCUUUCCAAAGGCCGCCUGCAAGAACCCGAUGGAUGCACAAAGUAACACUGAGAGGAGCGAGGUUACAACCCAAAGCCUUCAAUGUUAUAAUUACAGCUCUUUCUUCCUCCCUGACGAACACAAAGAGGAGAUGUUUCUCUCCCCCUCUCGUCUCCACCUCUCACUGCACAGCUUGGCGAGCUCGCAUUAAUUGCUCCCAAAAGCUGUGGAAGCACAACAAGUGCUUCUCAUCCUGGUGUAAUUGUGUCUGUAGGAGUUGGAGGGGCUUGAGAAGAAAGAGGGCUCUGCUGCUUAAGGAAAGGCUUUGUGAGCUGAGGACGUUUGGAAGAAGCGUGAUAUGAUGGUGCACUCUGGUGGACAGACAGGGGAAGGAGAGAAUAUGAAGUCACACAGAAAGUGUGUCCUUCUUGUUUGACAUGAUAAAAUCACUCGUUGUACAGCCACGUGUGGGAGAACUGAGUAAUGUCAAUUUAUUUCCCUGUGAAUUAAGAAAAACAUAAUACAAUACAUAACAUGCACAAUAGACCUUAACUAGCUUAAUGUACACAAUAGCAAGAGGGGAUUAUCAGAAUUUAAACACCUGAUCGAGUAAAAUGAAAGUGAAUUUUAAUAACAAUUUUAUUUUGCAAUUGUGUUUUCAUAGGUCUAACAUCUCUCACGGUCUCUCUGAUUAAACUACCUGCUCAAGAGUCUCUUAUGUUGUAGCCUAUAUAUCUAUCUCUAUCUAUACUAGUGUGAGUUGAUAACAUGUUUCAUCUUUAGCAACAAACAGGAAAUUCUAAAUGAAACUGGAGUGACUAUUGAUGUUGCAUAG